AUUGAACGCUGGCGGCAGGCCUAACACAUGCAAGUCGAGCGAGCGGCGGACGGGUGAGUAAUGUCUGGGAAACUGCCUGAUGGAGGGGGAUAACUACUGGAAACGGUAGCUAAUACCGCAUACCAUCAGAUGUGCCCAGAUGGGAUUAGCGAGUAGGGGGGGUAACGGCUGACCUAGGCGACGACCCCUAGCUGGUCUGAGCGGAUGACCAGCCAUCAUGGAACUGAGACACGGUCCAUACUCCUACGUGAGGCAGCAGUGGGGAAUAUUGCACAAUGGGCUCAAGCCUGAGGCAGCAAUGCCGCUUGUGUGAAGAAGUCGUUCGGGUUGUAAAGCACUUUCAGCGGGGAGGCGUUACCCGCAGAGGAAGCACCGGCUAACUCCGUGCCAGCCGCUGCGGUAAUAC
RNAcentral lists this ribosomal RNA (406 nucleotides) under uncultured bacterium. RNAcentral describes it as "partial 16S ribosomal RNA". It matches the Rfam family "Bacterial small subunit ribosomal RNA", at positions 30 to 526 of the family's 1533-position model. The record is from RNAcentral.